Molecule: transfer RNA, 84 nt
Filed under: Patescibacteria group bacterium
Lineage: Bacteria
Description: tRNA-Leu
Rfam family: tRNA
About the family: Transfer RNA (tRNA) molecules are approximately 80 nucleotides in length. Their secondary structure includes four short double-helical elements and three loops (D, anti-codon, and T loops).
Source: RNAcentral
GCCGAGGUGGUGAAAUUGGCAAACACGCUGGCUUCAGGAGUCAGUGCUCGCAAGGGCUUAAGGGUUCAACUCCCUUCCUCGGCA